This 253-nucleotide ribosomal RNA is filed under the name uncultured bacterium. Its description in RNAcentral is "partial 16S ribosomal RNA". It matches the Rfam family "Bacterial small subunit ribosomal RNA", at positions 524 to 776 of the family's 1533-position model. The record is from RNAcentral.
UACGGGGGGGGCAAGCGUUGUUCGGAAUUACGGGGCGUAAAGGGCUCGUAGGCGGCCAACUAAGUCAGACGUGAAAUCCCUCGGCUUAACCGGGGAACUGCAUCUGAUACUGGAUGGCUUGAGAUUGGGAGAGGGAUGCGGAAUUCCAGGUGUAGCGGUGAAAUGCGUAGAUAUCUGGAGGAACACCGGUGGCGAAGGCGGCAUCCUGGACCAACACUGACGCUGAGGAGCGAAAGCCAGGGGAGCAAACGGG